ACGACAUCGUUUUGGCGACCGCUAACGAUCCACCUUCCCUCGGAUUCGACGAUCCUAUUGGUUCAACUCUGCACCGCAUUUACCACCACCAGCACCCUCCCGCCAUGUAUUUAUGAUCGCCACUCCACCACUCCACCGCUCCGCCACUCCACCGCUCUACUCCCUUCUCCCGGCUGCUAGGGUUUCCGAUUCCCAAAUGUCGCAGACCCAUUUCAGCAAGGGCGACGAAGUCGAGGUCGUCACGAAGCCCUCCCGCGGUUCCACCGGGCCGUACUACCCCGCGACGGUGCGCCGCCCCGUGGUCAAGGACAAGGCCCACAUUUUAGUCCAGUACCAAACCCUGACGACCCCCAACGCCGUCAGCCCCAGACUCCUCCAGGAGAUAGUCGAAUUAGGCAAUGUGAGGCCCGCACCGCCGAGGGAGCUCUACCAGUUCUUCAAGGUGGGCGACGACGUCGACGCCUACAGAGAAAAUGGGUGGUCUCGCGGGACUGUGACGGACAUUCUGGAGAACUCCAAGUACUUAGUUGCGCUGCGGGGUGAGGAAUUUGAGUGCGAGCAGUGUGAUUUGAGGAUUCACAGAGACUGGGAUGAUGGCUCUUGGGUCCCUCCUUUUCAAGAAGAGAAUAGUUCGUCUGGGAUGGUGGUGAAAUCUAGAAAGUUAAUAUUGAAAUUUAAGUGCGGCAAGAAACCAUUGGGAGCAAGCUUUGAAAACGGGACUGUGGUGGAGGUCAGCAGCGACGAGGAAGGCUACAAGGAUGCUUGGUACACUGCUAAAAUAAUUGAUCAUGUAGGAAAUAACAAGUAUCUGGUGGAAUACCUGUACCUGGUAACGGAUGACGGGACAAGGGAUCCCUUGAGAGAAGAAGCAUGUGCAAGUUAUAUUAGACCUUGUCCUCCUGCACUUCCAUCGGUUGCUCAUUUCAAAGUGCUCCAGAAAGUCGAUGCUUGGUACAAUGAGGGAUGGUGGGAGGGCACCGUUUCCAAAGUUCUUGGCGGCUUAAUGUAUGUUGUCUAUUUCAGCUCCACCAAUGAAGAAUUAAUGUUUGAACAUUCCAAUUUGAGGCCUCGACAGGACUGGAUUAACGGACAAUGGAUCCCUGCUUAAAUGGUGACCUAAAACGGACAUGAUCACGAAGAGUUCGCUGACAUAAGGAAAUAGGAAAAAGAAAGAAGCAAAGGAGACUUAUCGACUAUGUACUUCGUAGCGCUUCUUCGAUUGUUAAUGAAAAUUCAGGUGAGUUGGGAUGCAGAGCUGAAGAUGCAGAAAACUAUGCCAAUGUUCAGCAGGGUAACAAAGGUACAAGUAAAUAGUGAUGAAAAUUACCAUUUUCCAUGGUUCUUUGACACUUCCGACGUCUUUGGAUUUAUAGCUAAUAACAAGAUUUUCGGAAACUCAGAUAAUAGAUAGUCUUCUUCGAUCAUAUGACCUUGUCAUUCCUCUGCAACACAUAUAAGGAUUGUUAGGAAUGUCUGAUUGCUUGUAAUCCCACGAUAGUACCGAAGUUAUUUUCUGCUACUACAAUGUCAGGGACAUAUGCGCAAAUAGAACACGUUAUAAAUAAAAAAUUGAACUAGAGGGUCUCUAAACA
Molecule: RNA transcript, 1592 nt
Organism: Pyrus x bretschneideri (Chinese white pear)
Lineage: Eukaryota; Viridiplantae; Streptophyta; Magnoliopsida; Rosales; Rosaceae
Gene name: protein AGENET DOMAIN (AGD)-CONTAINING P1-like
Exons: 4
Source: RefSeq, a predicted model, not a curated record